This is an unclassified non-coding RNA of Macaca fascicularis (crab-eating macaque), 148 nucleotides long. It matches the Rfam family "Metazoan signal recognition particle RNA". From Rfam's summary of the family: The signal recognition particle (SRP) is a universally conserved ribonucleoprotein. It is involved in the co-translational targeting of proteins to membranes. The record is from Ensembl. NCBI's taxonomy places the organism in Eukaryota, Metazoa, Chordata, Mammalia, Primates, Cercopithecidae.
GCCGGGCAUGGUGGCGGGUGCCUGUAGUCCCAGCUACUUGGGAGGCUGAGGCAGGAGAAUCGCUUGAACCCGGGAGGCGGAGGUUGCAGAGAGCCGAGAUUGCGCCACUGCACUCCAGCCUGGGUGACAGGGCGAGACUCUGUCUCAA